This is a long non-coding RNA of Vicia villosa (hairy vetch), 6775 nucleotides long. RefSeq lists it as uncharacterized. The record is from RefSeq and is a predicted model, not a curated record. The transcript has 6 exons. NCBI's taxonomy places the organism in Eukaryota, Viridiplantae, Streptophyta, Magnoliopsida, Fabales, Fabaceae.
UAUUAUUUCAUCAUUCUUAUGUGUAUUUUCAUUUCACUCUUCUGUCUAAUCAAAUGGAUAGCAUCGAAUUGAAUUUUGUGAUUGUGAAAAUAUCAAAUUCACCAUAUACAUAACAUCAUAGCUUUCAAUUCAGUUCUGUCACACAGAAAACAUCAAAUGAUAGAUUUCCAAAAUUGUGUUUGUAUCUCAUUCAUUCAUUCAUAUACAAAAUUUUCACCCAUUUUCCCAUUCAAAGGGAAAACGAAAAUAUUUACAACAUGUCUGCCUAUAUUCUACAAAAUCUCAAUACUAAUCUAUGUUAGUCUCUUUCAGUUACAGAUUUAUAGACCAUUCAAGCAACAAGUAACAUUCAAGAAAACGUCUUCCGUGCAUGGAAUUGUGAGACCGCCCAUUCGAUGAUCAUAUCCAAAUUCUUCCUCUGCUUCACUCAACAAGUUUUGAUAUGAAGGUUUGUUCAAGUAUGACGUGGGAAUCACAAACCGCUUAUUCUCCUCUCCUACGUACACCGCAAGAUAGCCCUUUGCCACUUUUGAUGAUGUUUGCCCAUUGCUACUUAAUGAACCACGUCUUAUAGCUGCAGGAAAAUACAUUAUAGUAUACACUUGUUUGAAUAGUGGAGACUGCUAGGAGCUUAAAGUAAAGGGUUGCCGCGGCGCUAAUUGAGUGCACUGGAAAGAAAGUCCUCGCGAUUGUCGUCUCUACUCUACCACCUUCGUUAAACAUCAAAGGAAAAAUGCUUCAUUCAAAGUUGUUGGUGGUUCAUGUCUUCAUGAUAAUCUUUUGAUUCGGAAAAUACAUAAUAAUACACUUUUUUGAAUGGUGGAUGAUACUAGGAGCUUAAAGUAAAGGAUUGCUGCUAAUUGAGUGCACAGGAAAGCCCUUGCGAUUAUCGUCUUUACCACCUUCGUUAAACAUCAAAGGAAAAUGCAACAUACAACAAAGUUAUUGGAAUGUUACUUUUUUCUUUUUCAUUUCACUUCUACUGACCUAUCUUCACAGUUCUAUCACGUGCUAAACAAGUGGAUCUCAUUGCAUUUGGAAUAUUUGAAGAAGAUUUCUUAUUUAUUGUAGCAAAAAUAUUGCUCUGACUAGAUGAAGAAAGCUCAAGACAUGUAAACACGUUGCGAGCUUAGAAACAAGAUAGCUUAUCACCUAUUAGAGUUUGGGGUGAAUGUUUUAAUAGGUUAGAUUUUGCUUACAGCGUGUAGUACCCUUAUGUGAUCGAUAUAAUAAACCAAGGAAAACUGGAUAUUGGUUCAUAUUUUAUUUUAACGACCAGUUUUGAAAUUUAUAGCUUAUAAACAGAAGCAAAUAGGAGCCCAUUGAGUUGUUGAAUAUAUUGUCUCAUUAUGAUUAGAAAUAAUUAAUAACAAAUAAUCUCUUCCUGAAUUUGUCAUUCAGACGGACAAUUCUAACCCGUUCCAAGGGUAGGAAAGGGAAAAAAGUCUAUACUUAAACCAAAUGAUGGCUAUUGUACAAAAAAAAAUUCUAUGCUAAUCUAUGUCAGUCUCCUUUAGUGUAAGAUUUAUAGGCUAUUGAACUGAGAAGUAAUAUCCAAGAAAACAUCUUCUCUACAAGGAAUUGUGAGGCCACCCAUUGGAUGAUCAUAUCCGAAUUCUUCCUCUACUUGACUCAACAAGUUUUGAAAUAAAGGUUGGUUCAAGUAUGAAAUGGGGAUGACAAACCGCUUCAUUUCCUCUCCGACGUACACUGCAAUAUGGCCCUUGGGCCCAUUUGAUACUUUUGAUGAUGUUUUGAUACUGCGAUGUGAAGACCGUCUAAUAGCAACAGGUAAAAGGAAACCCAUUUCAAAUGUUUUGAAGAGAAAAAGCUGAAUAUCUUGAUGUUAGGAUAAUGUAUCUAUGUUUAUUUGCUUGAGUAGUUUGUGAUGGUUGUGAAGGAGGGCACUAUAUUUAUAGUUUCCAAAAUUUUCUUGAAAUCCUAUUGCUAGAGAAAUGAUUUUUGAAUGAUGAUGGGGGGCAUGAGAUGAGAGAUCACAUGGUGUUGUCUUAGAUGCCUCUGUCAAGGAUCAAUAAGUUCAAUAAGAGUGCAAACCCCACCUGAAUGAAAGGCUAAUUUUGAACUAGCUGCUUGUACUAUGCCCACUCAUUUUUUUUCUUUAGACAUGCAUCAGACAUGGCACAUGUUCUCUUCAUAUUGGCAAUAAAGCUUAAUGUUGAUAUAUGGCCCGAAGAAUUAGGAGGAAACUAUGAGUCAUACACUAACAGUAACACACUAUAUAUGAGUUGUGCAUAUUGUUUUGUUCACAAGAGAUCACAUGAAACUGUCUAGAGGUCUUUCUUAAGACUUGGCAGAGAGUUAAAGUUAUGUCCCACAUUACAAAACUGUUUCAACUUUGAAAAUGAAAGUGCUAUACACAGGUAAGAAAACAUACUAAUUUUUAAACCAUUUACUUUAACAAUUAAUUCUGAUGUUCACAUAUCCUGGCAUUUUCUGAAUGGAUGUUCUAAUUUUUAAACUCAGUUAAUUUAGCAGACAUAGACAACAGUGUCUAUGGUCAUUUGUAAGGGACUUGCAAAAGAGGAUAGAAAAAGUUUUAUUUUAAUCACAGAUUUAAGAUUGGUUUCUGCUGUUUCUUGAUAAGGAGAUACAAAUGGGCCGUACUGACUAAACUAGUUUGAGAUUAGGUGUCAACCACUCAUCUCUAUGAUUAGAUCUACAUUUGCUACUUUUUAUUAUUUUCCGUGCAGAAGGUAUUAUCACAGAAGUAACACAUCCCUCAACACAGUCGAGAUUUUUGGUAACAACAACUACUUUGCCAUGUACAUAGUCAGAGAAAUUUGCAAGGAAUCACCAGCUUUGUAAUUUAUAAUUUAUAAAUAGAAGCAUAUAUAUAGAACAUUGAGUUGUUAAAUAUAUUGUGUCAUUAUGACUAGAAAAUUAAUAACAAAUAAUCUCUUCCUGAAUGUCAUUCAGAUGGACAGUUCUAACCUAUUCCAAAGGAUCUAUUGCUUGUUGAAGCGAGAAGCAAUAUGCAAGAAAACAUCUUCUGUGCAAGGAAUUGUGAGGCCACCCAUUGGAUGAUCAUAUCCGAACUCUUCCUUUGCUUGACUCAACAAGUUUUGGAAUGAAGGUUGGUUCAAGUAUGAUGUGGGAAUCACAAACCUCUUCAUUUCCUCACCAACGUACACCGCAAGAUAGCCCUUUGGCACUUUUGAUGAUGUUUGGUUGCUACUUAAUGAACCACGUCUUAUAGCUGCAGGUAAACGGAAACCCAUUUCAAAUGUUUUGAAGAACAAAUCUCAAAAUUUAAGGGGAAAAAAAGGUAUCUAUCUUUUGAUGCUUGAGUAAGUGAGUGAUUUGUGAAGGAAAAUUGUGUAUUUUUAUAGUCUUCAUUCAAGAGUUUCUUCAUAUCCAUGAUUGUUAAAGAAUGGGGUCCAUGAGAUGAGAGAUCCACAUGGUAUUGUCUUUGAAUGGCUCUCCAUCAAGUUCAAUUAGAAUGCAUAUAUACCCCAUCUUCUCAACGAAAGGCUAGCAGAUUAACCACAUGGAAGUCAAAUAUCUUCUCAUAUUUUUGUAGACAUGUCACAUGUUCUCUUCAUAUCCAGAACGCGGUUCAAUACCGAAAUAUAGCCAGCCACCAAUAAUUUUCUUUGCGUGUAUCAUAAUGGUUUGUUGGCUCCAAAUCAUUAAUAUUAGGAGGCUACAAGGAACACAUAUAGAGGGCUUGGUCGGUCAUUAGUCAUGCUGACCAAAAGAAAAGAUAGAUAACAAUUGAACACCUCUUCAAAUGAGAUAAGUAUAUGUUUGGACCCACAAACAACUACCAGUAACAAAAAUAUUGCUAUUCUGAAUAUUGAAUUGAAUUUCAAGUCAACAGUCCUAUAUAUUUGCAGUCUAUUGAAUAUAUCUAGCAGCAAAUGCUCUGCCGUGGACUCUAGCUCAUAACUUUAACGUGCGUAUAAAGAGCUGCUCAAUGAUUUGUUUUCUGCAUGACUGCAUCUAAGAAUAAUUAGCUAGUAGAACCUUAAUUCAAUAAACUCUCUUGUUAAGAAUAAUUCGCUAGUAGGAUAAGGUCCAAUGUUUCUACUAACUCAAGAAUCAGAGGCAGAGCCAUGAAUAAGUGCUUAACUAUCAUAGAUUUGUUGACUUUGUAUCAACUCAGAUGAGUUACUAGCUUAUAGGAAAUUUCAAAUUUCCAAUAGAGAAGAGAUUAUUUAAUACUUGAAAUUCGUGUUUUAUUGCUAAAUCUAUUUGUAGAUUAUGCCUGGACCACCAAGGGAACUGUUAGUGGGAGACUUUUCAUAAUUGGGUCAAGAAGUGGUAAAUUUGAACUCUAUUGUUUGAUGGGAUAGACUUCUGUUUUUAAAUCUAACUAAUUGUGCGUCUAUGAUACUAAUACAUGGUCUGUGUCUGUGCAGACUCUGUUUAGUCAUGCGGUUAGCCCCUGAAAAAAGUGAGCUGAAAUUUUUAUUGUCUAAGUAGUCUCUUUACUAAUAAUAUCUUUUUAACUUAAGAGAAUAAACCAAAUGCAAGCAGUUCAUGAUAAUCUUUUGAUUAGGAAGAUACAUUAUAGUAUACACUUUUAUGAAUAGUGGAGGUUGCUAGGAGCUUACAGUAAAGGGUUGCCGCUAAUUGUGUGCAUAGUAAAGAAAGUCCUUGCGUUUGUCGUCUCUACUCUACCACCUUUGUUAAACAUCAAAGGAAAAAUGCUUCAUACACAGUUAUUGGUAAGUUUUUUUUUUUUCAUUUUCAUUUCACUUCUACAGACCCGCUUCCAAUGUUCUAUAUCACGUGCUAUUGUGCUAAACAAAUUGAUGAUUAGAUCUCAUGGCAGUUGGAAUAGUUGGAGGAGCUUUCUUAUUUUUCAAAGCAUAAAUAUUGCUCUGCCUAGAUGAAGAAAGCUCUAGACAUGUAAACACGUUGUGAGCUUAGAUAUAAGAUAGAUUAUCGGUUAUUAGAGUUUGGGUGAAUGUCUUAUUAGGUUAGAGAAAUUUGCAUAAAUUUUCAAGCUAGAUUUUGCUUACAGCGUGUAGUACCCUUAUGUUAUCAUUAUAAUAAACCAAGGAAAACUGGAUAUUGUUUCAUAUUUUUAUUUUAUCAAGGACUAGUUUUGUAACUUAGAAAUAGAAGAAUAUAUGAGCCCAUUGAGUUGUGGAAUAUAUUGUGUCAUUAUGAUUAGGAAUAAGUAAUAACAAAUAAUCUCUUCCUGAAUUUAUCAUUCAGACGGACAGCUCUAACCCGUUCCAAGGAUAGGAAGUAGAAAAUAAUUCUAUACAAAUCUAAAUGAUGACUAUUGUACAAAAUUUCUAUGCUAAUCUGUGUCCGUCUCCUUCAGUGUAAGAUUUAGAAGCUAUUGAACUGAGAAGUAAUAUGCAAGAAAACAUCUUCAGUGCAAGGAAUUGUGAGGGCACCCAUCAGAUGAUUAUAUCCAAAUUCUUCCUCUGCUUGACUUAACAAGUUUUGAAAUGAGGAUUGGUUCAAGUAUGACAUGGGGAUGACAAACCGCUUCUUCUCCUCUCCGACGUACACCGCAAGAUAUCCCUUUGCCACAUUUGAUACUUUUGAUGAUGUUUGGAUAUUGCUAGGUGCUGACCGUCUAAUAGCUGCAGGAUCUAUUGCCCGUUGAAGCGAGAUGUAAUAUGCAAGAAUACAUCUUCCGUGAAUUGUGAGGCCACCCAUCGGACGAUCAUAUCCGAACUCUUCCUCUACUUGACUCAACAAGUUUUGAAAUGAAGAUUGGUUCAAGUAUGACAUAGGGAUAACAAACCGCUUCAUUUUCUCUCCAACGUACACCGCAAGAUAGCCCUUUGGCACAUUCAAUGCUUUUGAGGAUGUUUGGCUACUGCUAAAUGAAGCCCGUCUAAUAGCUGCUGGUAAACGGAAACCCAUUUCAAAUGUUUUGAAGAAAAAAUUGAAUUUGUGACAAAUAUAAGAAAAAUGUUUGUAAGUAUGAUUGCUUGAGUGAUUUGUGAUUGUUGUGAAGGAGGACACUAUUUAUAGUUUCCAAAAGUUUCUUGAUACUCCUUUGGUAGAGAAAAAUGAUUGUUAAAAUGAUGGGGCCAUGAGAUAAUAAAUCACAUGCUAUUGUCAAGGAUCAUUAGGAGUCCAAACCCCACUUUGUGAAUGAAAGGCUCAUGUUAAACUCAAUACUUAUACAAUUCCUACUAUUUUUUUCAGACACGGCACAUGAUUUUCUCUUCACAUUGAUCACUCAAUGUUGAUAUUGAAAUAUCAGUCAUAAAUUAAAACACUAUUUAUGAAUUGUGCAUAUUAUUGUUCUUGACUUGGUUCUUAAAUGGUUCACAAAGAGAUCACAUGAUAGUGUCUAGAGAUAUUUGAGUGAGAAAUUAAAUGUACGUCCCACAUUAUUAUGAUCAUGUUUCGGCCAGACUUGAAACAUCUCUAAUUUUCUUCAACAAUUUUGAUAUGUUUUAUAUCCUGGCAUUUUCUAAUUUUGAAACUAUAUUAGUUUAUUCUAUGAAUUAAUUUAGCAGACAUAGAUAACAAUUAUUUAUGCAAUUGAUAUAUUGAUGAUUCAGUUAUGUGAUAGAUAACAAUUAUUUGCAGAUAUUAAUAAUACAUUCACAAUUGACCAAAUAAUAAGUAUCUCUCUUUUCAACACUCUAUCAAACAUUCAUAAUUAUUUGAUAUACUGAUGACUUCUAAUCCGAUUUUUUUCUCUAUUUUUUUAUUUUUAACUUUUUUACAUAAAUUCUAGAAUUUUUGAUUUUCGCAGUGCAAUCUUCAAAAUAUAUUUUCUUUCUCUUCGUCAACAAAGGUUUUAAGGCACACUUUAAUAAUCUCACCUUGA